RNAcentral lists this small RNA (587 nucleotides) under Pan troglodytes (chimpanzee). RNAcentral's name for it is "processed transcript". The record is from RNAcentral. Lineage: Eukaryota; Metazoa; Chordata; Mammalia; Primates; Hominidae.
CCGCCGAAUGGCAGCCUCCAGAAAGCCACCGCGAGUAAGGGCGAAUCACCAGGAUUUUCAACUGAGAAAUUUAAGAAUAAUUGAACCUAACGAGGUGACACACUCAGGAGACACAGGUGUGGAAACAGACGGCAGAAUGCCUCCAAAGGUGACUUCAGAGCUGCUUCGGCAGCUGAGACAAGCCAUGAGGAACUCUGAGUAUGUGACGGAACCGAUCCAGGCCUACAUCAUCCCAUCGGGAGAUGCUCAUCAGAGUGAGUAUAUUGCUCCAUGUGACUGUCGGCGGGCUUUUGUCUCUGGAUUCGAUGGCUCUGCGGGCACAGCCAUCAUCACAGAAGAGCAUGCAGCCAUGUGGACUGACGGGCGCUACUUUCUCCAGGCUGCCAAGCAAAUGGACAGCAACUGGACACUUAUGAAGAUGGGUCUGAAGGACACACCAACUCAGGAAGACUGGCUGGUGAGUGUGCUUCCUGAAGGAUCCAGGGUUGGUGUGGACCCCUUGAUCAUUCCUACAGGCAUCUCCUGGAAGGACAAGGUUGCAGACCUUCGGUUGAAAAUGGCUGAGAGGAACGUCAUGUGGUUUGUGG